GGCCUCCUGGUGCUCACCAUAGGCUGCAUUCUUACACCCAUUGUAUAGAAAGAGGAAGGAGAACAAACCUACCCUAUAUACCCUCAGCUCAGGCUCUAUGCCUGGUCUGCAUUGUAAAUGGAGAUUUAUAG
Molecule: small nucleolar RNA, 131 nt
Filed under: Carlito syrichta (Philippine tarsier)
Lineage: Eukaryota; Metazoa; Chordata; Mammalia; Primates; Tarsiidae
Description: Small nucleolar RNA SNORA51 (ENSTSYG00000021952.2)
Rfam family: Small nucleolar RNA SNORA51
About the family: ACA51 is a member of the H/ACA class of snoRNA that guide the sites of modification of uridines to pseudouridines.
Source: Rfam by way of RNAcentral